RNAcentral lists this ribosomal RNA (467 nucleotides) under uncultured bacterium. RNAcentral describes it as "partial 16S ribosomal RNA". It matches the Rfam family "Bacterial small subunit ribosomal RNA", at positions 28 to 506 of the family's 1533-position model. The record is from RNAcentral.
GACGAACGCUGGCGGCGUGCUUAACACAUGCAAGUCGAACGGAAAGGCCCUGCUUUUGUGGGGUGCUCGAGUGGCGAACGGGUGAGUAACACGUGAGUAACCUGCCCUUGACUAUGGGAUAACUUCAGGAAACUGGGGCUAACACCGGAUAGGAGCUCCUGCCGCAUGGUGGGGGUUGGAAAGCUUCGGCGGUUGGGGAUGGACUCGCGGCUUAUCAGGUUGUUGGUGGGGUAGUGGCCUACCAAGGCUUGGACGGGUGGCCGGCCUGGGGGGGUGACCGCCCGCAUUGGGACUGAGGUGCGGCCCAGCCUCCUACGGGACGCAGCAGCGGGGAAUAUUGCACAAGGGGCGGCAGCAGGAUGCAGCACCCCGGCGGGCGGGAGGACGGCCUUCGGGUUGUAAGCCCCUUCCGCCUGUGACGAAGCGUGAGUGACGGUAAUGGGUAAGGAAGCACCGGCUAACUACGU